GGGAGCGCCAAGCAGGUCAGGAUUCCUGGUUUUCACCCAGGCGGCCCAGGGUUCGACUCCCGGUAUGGGAAUCUUCCCA
This is a non-coding RNA of Merluccius polli (Benguela hake), 79 nucleotides long. Lineage: Eukaryota; Metazoa; Chordata; Actinopteri; Gadiformes; Merlucciidae. The record is from the annotation of a GenBank genome assembly.